Molecule: small RNA, 31 nt
Filed under: Bombyx mori (domestic silkworm)
Lineage: Eukaryota; Metazoa; Arthropoda; Insecta; Lepidoptera; Bombycidae
Description: ovarian small RNA-2469
Source: RNAcentral
AAGGCUCUACUGAGCCUACAACCUGGCUCGC